GUGUUUAUAAUGAAUUUUAAAAAAACGCCCUUUCACGGCGGUAACAGGGGUUCGAAUCCCCUUGGGGACGCCA
Molecule: transfer RNA, 73 nt
Filed under: Alteromonas sp. Mac2
Lineage: Bacteria; Pseudomonadati; Pseudomonadota; Gammaproteobacteria; Alteromonadales; Alteromonadaceae
Description: tRNA-Glu
Rfam family: tRNA
About the family: Transfer RNA (tRNA) molecules are approximately 80 nucleotides in length. Their secondary structure includes four short double-helical elements and three loops (D, anti-codon, and T loops).
Source: RNAcentral